RNAcentral lists this ribosomal RNA (497 nucleotides) under uncultured bacterium. RNAcentral's name for it is "partial 16S ribosomal RNA". It matches the Rfam family "Bacterial small subunit ribosomal RNA", at positions 28 to 507 of the family's 1533-position model. The record is from RNAcentral.
GAUGAACGCUGGCGGCGUGCCUAAUACAUGCAAGUCGAGCGAACAGAUGAGGAGCUUGCUCCUCUGACGUUAGCGGCGGACGGGUGAGUAACACGUGGAUAACCUACCUAUAAGACUGGGAUAACUUCGGGAAACCGGAGCUAAUACCGGAUAAUAUAUUGAACUGCAUGGUUCAAUAGUGAAAGACGGUUUUGCUGUCACUUAUAGAUGGAUCCGCGCCGCAUUAGCUAGUUGGUAAGGUAACGGCUUACCAAGGCAACGAUGCGUAGCCGACCUGAGAGGGUGAUCGGCCACACUGGAACUGAGACACGGUCCAGACUCCUACGGGAGGCAGCAGUAGGGAAUAUUCCGCAAUGGGCGAAAGCCUGACGGAGCAACGCCGCGUGAGUGAUGAAGGUCUUCGGAUCGUAAAACUCUGUUAUUAGGGAAGAACAAAUGUGUAAGUAACUAUGCACGUCUUGACGGUACCUAAUCAGAAAGCCACGGCUAACUACGUG